GGGCGUGCGACUAGGAGUUCUCCUGGCACGUGGGACAAACACACCGAGAAUGUCUGAUUGGAGGAAAUUGUGUUGAAAUACCCUAUUAGACGUACAUUCAAGAGAGAAAGGGAUUCGAAACCAGAUUUAGUUGAUGCAGGCCAACCGAGGACGAGGACGAGACCAGCAGGCUAGAGACUAUUUGGGAAUCCAUAUCUGUG
Cucurbita pepo subsp. pepo (vegetable marrow) is the source of this 200-nucleotide non-coding RNA. The record is from RefSeq and is a predicted model, not a curated record. Lineage: Eukaryota; Viridiplantae; Streptophyta; Magnoliopsida; Cucurbitales; Cucurbitaceae.